Homo sapiens (human) is the source of this 1421-nucleotide long non-coding RNA. Ensembl annotates it as long intergenic non-protein coding RNA 2889. The record is from Ensembl. Lineage: Eukaryota; Metazoa; Chordata; Mammalia; Primates; Hominidae.
AAGGGUAAGAAGAGGAAUCAUGUGGAAGAAGAGUAAACAUCUGAUGGUGUCCUGGGUAGCUGAAACUGUGGAAAGCAAAACCGUGGAUAAGGGGGAACUACUAUACUGAAAAUGUACAAAACAGAGAAGAUUUCAUUGAAGAAGUCUGCUGUUUCUGGAAUGGGAAAUUAAGAUAAAAAUUGAAGCUCUCAUCUUCUAUAACAUCAUUGGUUCUUUUGAAGCACAACUGGAACAGUUAUCGACUGUGAUUCUUGCUGGGACCAAUAACCUUCUACAAAUACCAACAUCAGUUUUUAUGAAAGGCAAAGAGCUGACAGGUUUACAGACUGCACCCUAACAUUAAGCUACCAGGAGAAACUUCCAAGUUACCCUCUUGUUACUUGUGCCCCAGAGGUGAACACUAUAAACUGCUACAGCAUGCAAUUUAGGGAGAGGUUCGUGAAGAAGUGAUUGGGAAAGAGAGCAAGUCUUGGUUGGACAGUGUGAUUCAAUAGAAAUGUGAGGAGGAAAACUGCAAUUAUUUCUGAACCUUCCCAUCAGCCUUGUCUCUGAUAGAAUUGGCCUGUUGUGGACGGGCUUUGUGUAGAUUAGAGAAAGAAGAAGAUGCUCUUUUGGUGUAAUUGUUCAGUUCCACAUGGCCGGGGAGGCCUCACGAUCAUGGCAGAAGGCAAGGAGGAGCAAGUCACAUCUUAUGUGGAUGGCAGCAGGCAAAGAGAGAGCGAGCUUGUGCAAGGAGACUCCCAUUUUUAAAACCAUCAGAUCUCGUGAGACUUAUUCACUAUCAGGAGAACAGCAAGCUAAAUCAGUGUGAGACCAAGGACCCUGGGGCUCCUCCAGUCAUUGCAGCUGUAUCACAACUACCCUGACAGAUUUCUUGCUCAGGGCAAGCCACCUGCCAUGUCUUGAGAACACUCAAGCAGCACAUGGCGAGGAAUGGAGAUGGACAGACAUGGGCCAGCAAGAAACAGGCUUGCCAACAACAGCUUGCGUGAUCCUGAAAGUGGGUCCUCUAGCCCCAUGUGACUGUUGCCCUGGCCAACAACUUAACUGCAACCUCAAGAGAUACCUACCCUGAGUCAGAACCACCCAGUCAAACUACCCCUGGCAUCUUAACUCAGAGCCCCGUUGACUGGAGGAUGGCCAUUUGACAACACAUUAUUUCCUGAGGAAACUUUUGACUUCUGGUGACUUGGGCCCCAGGCAAGUAUGUGCCAAUCACAAACUUUCUGGCUCAUCCUAGGCUUCUCAGUCUCUGUCCCUCUAUAUUGAAUUUGAUUUUGAGAGGAAGGCAUCCAAAAGAGUUGGUGUGAACCUAAUACUGUCACAAAGCUGGGAAAAUUUUGGGCUCAAUAUUUGAGACAGGAAGAGAACCCCAGCUGCCUUACUGAGACUGAUUUAUAAGAGUAAAUUAUAAAAAUGAA